This 219-nucleotide unclassified non-coding RNA is filed under the name soil metagenome. RNAcentral describes it as "partial contains 5.8S ribosomal RNA, internal transcribed spacer 2, and large subunit ribosomal RNA". The record is from RNAcentral.
AACGCACGAGACCUGCGGACCUGCGGAAGGAUCAUUACGCAUUGCCGGGGCCUCGGCCCCGGCGCCGAACCACACGGUCCGGUCACCCCCUGCUUUCUUGAGCACCUUAUGUUUCCUCGGCGGGCUCGCCCGCCACAGAGGACCCCCGAAAACCCUUUUGUAAUGAGCAGUCCAGUCAGUACAUGAAAAAAUUGUCACAACUUUCAACAACGGAUCUCU